GCGAGAGUGGCGGAACUGGUAGACGCGCUGGACUUAGGCUCCAGUGGGCGCAGGCCCUUGGGGGUUCGACUCCCCCCUCUCGCACCA
This 87-nucleotide transfer RNA is filed under the name Candidatus Rokuibacteriota bacterium. Its description in RNAcentral is "tRNA-Leu". It matches the Rfam family "tRNA". Rfam says of the family: Transfer RNA (tRNA) molecules are approximately 80 nucleotides in length. Their secondary structure includes four short double-helical elements and three loops (D, anti-codon, and T loops). The record is from RNAcentral. Lineage: Bacteria; Candidatus Rokuibacteriota.